UGCAAGUUCGAAGCGGUGAAGCCCAGCUUGCUGGGUGGAUCAGUGGCGAACGGGUGAGUAACACGUGAGCAACCUGCCCCUGACUCUGGGAUAAGCGCUGGAAACGGCGUCUAAUACUGGAUAUGUGACGUGACCGCAUGGUCUGCGUCUGGAAAGAAUUUCGGUUGGGGAUGGGCUCGCGGCCUAUCAGCUUGUUGGUGAGGUAAUGGCUCACCAAGGCGUCGACGGGUAGCCGGCCUGAGAGGGUGACCGGCCACACUGGGACUGAGACACGGCCCAGACUCCUACGGGAGGCAGCAGUGGGGAAUAUUGCACAAUGGGCGCAAGCCUGAUGCAGCAACGCCGCGUGAGGGACGACGGCCUUCGGGUUGUAAACCUCUUUUAGCAGGGAAGAAGCGAAAGUGACGGUACCUGCAGAAAAAGCGCCGGCUAACUACGUGCCAGCAGCCGCGGUAAUACGUAGGGCGCAAGCGUUAUCCGGAAUUAUUGGGCGUAAAGAGCUCGUAGGCGGUUUGUCGCGUCUGCUGUGAAAUCCGGAGGCUCAACCUCCGGCCUGCAGUGGGUACGGGCAGACUAGAGUGCGGUAGGGGAGAUUGGAAUUCCUGGUGUAGCGGUGGAAUGCGCAGAUAUCAGGAGGAACACCGAUGGCGAAGGCAGAUCUCUGGGCCGUAACUGACGCUGAGGAGCGAAAGGGUGGGGAGCAAACAGGCUUAGAUACCCUGGUAGUCCACCCCGUAAACGUUGGGAACUAGUUGUGGGGUCCAUUCCACGGAUUCCGUGACGCAGCUAACGCAUUAAGUUCCCCGCCUGGGGAGUACGGCCGCAAGGCUAAAACUCACAGGAAUUGACGGGGACCCGCACAAGCGGCGGAGCAUGCGGAUUAAUUCGAUGCAACGCGAAGAACCUUACCAAGGCUUGACAUAUACGAGAACGGGCCAGAAAUGGUCAACUCUUUGGACACUCGUAAACAGGUGGUGCAUGGUUGUCGUCAGCUCGUGUCGUGAGAUGUUGGGUUAAGUCCCGCAACGAGCGCAACCCUCGUUCUAUGUUGCCAGCACGUAAUGGUGGGAACUCAUGGGAUACUGCCGGGGUCAACUCGGAAGGAAGGUGGGGAUGACGUCAAAUCAUCAUGCCCCUUAUGUCUUGGGCCUCCCGCAUGCUACAAUGGCCGGUACAAAGGGCUGCAAUACCGCGAGGU
This 1198-nucleotide ribosomal RNA is filed under the name Microbacterium sp. RNAcentral describes it as "bacterial SSU rRNA". It matches the Rfam family "Bacterial small subunit ribosomal RNA", at positions 56 to 1263 of the family's 1533-position model. Lineage: Bacteria; Bacillati; Actinomycetota; Actinomycetes; Micrococcales; Microbacteriaceae. The record is from RNAcentral.